Molecule: ribosomal RNA, 425 nt
Filed under: uncultured bacterium
Lineage: Bacteria
Description: bacterial SSU rRNA
Rfam family: Bacterial small subunit ribosomal RNA
Source: RNAcentral
GUGGGGAAUAUUGGACAAUGGGCGCAAGCCUGAUCCAGCCAUGCCGCGUGAGUGAUGAAGGCCUUAGGGUUGUAAAGCUCUUUUACCCGGGAAGAUAAUGACUGUACCGGGAGAAUAAGCCCCGGCUAACUUCGUGCCAGCAGCCGCGGUAAUACGAAGGGGGCUAGCGUUGUUCGGAUUUACUGGGCGUAAAGCGCACGUAGGCGGAUCUUUAAGUCAGAGGUGAAAUCCCAAGGCUCAACCUUGGAACUGCCUUUGAUACUGGGGAUCUUGAGUUCGGAAGAGGUGAGUGGAACUGCGAGUGUAGAGGUGAAAUUCGUAGAUAUUCGCAAGAACACCAGUGGCGAAGGCGGCUCACUGGUCCGAUACUGACGCUGAGGUGCGAAAGCGUGGGGAGCAAACAGGAUUAGAUACCCUAGUAGUCC